Molecule: RNA transcript, 4202 nt
Organism: Solea solea (common sole)
Lineage: Eukaryota; Metazoa; Chordata; Actinopteri; Pleuronectiformes; Soleidae
Gene: lrp12
Gene name: low density lipoprotein receptor-related protein 12
Exons: 12
Source: RefSeq, a predicted model, not a curated record
UCUCUCUCUCUCACACACACUCACACACACACUCUAUGUCUCUCUCUCUCUCUGUUGUUGUUCAGCUCGACGCGGAGCUAACAGUAGCUCGCAGCUAAGCUAACAGAUGUCCUCUCCUCUGUCCGGGCUCGGCGAUCAUUAACCCGGUGUCCUCGGUGUCCUCUCGUCCCCUGUGCAGCUCGCUGCUCUUAUCAUGUCCCAGCUAAGCGCACAGUGUUAUUGACAUUAGCUCCGGCUGUUAGCCUCCACUCUGUUUACGUGUAUGGACGGGUUAGCAGGAGAGCUAAUAGCGCAGUUAGCCGCUGCCUCUUGUCGUCGCGCACGGUGUUAAUUUAACAAAUGUCCCGUGUUUUGUCCCCGGACAUGUGUCUCCGUGUCCACACCGCGCAGUCCGGGACUCUCAGUCCGCAUAGCUAGCGUUAGCUGUUGGAGUCCGAUGUCUUUGUUGUGUGACCAGCUCUGUUAGCAGGACAGUUAGCAGAUGCUAGGCUAACCCGGCUGGUCUCGCGUAGUUUUUUUUUUGUUACGUUCGCAUUUCACAGUUGUGGUUCUUAACAUGCAGCUGUGACGUCACUGGUCAUCACCCGGCAUCAUCACCAUGGCCAUGACGUCAGUGUACGUCAUAAACUUGCUCGUUCUGUCAGGAUGCAUUGCUGCCCCUCAGAUGAGCGACAACGUCUACGUGUCGGGAAUCUCCAGCGCGUGCAGUGAUGUGGCCGAGCUCCUGCGAGCGUCCAGUGGCAUCAUCACCAGCCCGGGCUGGCCGUUCCAGUAUCCUGCCAGACUCAACUGCAGCUGGAACAUCAGAGCUCGACCUGGAGACACCAUCACCAUCAGUUUCCAGGACUUUGACCUGCAGGGUUCACACCGCUGCUCCUCAGACUGGAUGUCCAUCAGCAGCUACAGGAGUCUGGACGGUCUGAGGGUGUGUGGCUCCUCCCUGCCUCCUCCGUACAUCUCCUCCCAGGACCACGUUUGGAUCCACUUCCACUCUGACGACAUUUUGGCGGGAAAAGGCUUCAGACUGUCCUAUAUCACAGGUAAAGCGGAGGCGUCCAGCUGUGACGUGGACCAGUUCCACUGCUCUAACGGGAAGUGUGUCCCUGACUGGUGGCGCUGUAACUCCAUGGACGAGUGUGGGGACAAUUCAGACGAGGAGCUGUGUGUGGACUCGCCCUUCUCCUUCCAGCCCUGCAGCCUCAACCAGUUCCCCUGUCUGUCGCGCUACACCCGCAUCUACACCUGCCUGCCCCACAGCCUGCGCUGCGACGGCAGCAUCGACUGCCAGGAUCUCGGCGAUGAGAUCGACUGUGACGUUCCCACCUGUGGAGAACGGUUGAGGAACUUCUACGGUUCCUUCACUUCUCCAAACUACCCCGACUUCUACCCUCCAGGAAGUAACUGCACCUGGCUGAUCGACACCGGAGACCACAGAAAGGUGAUCCUGAGGUUCACGGACUUUAAACUGGACGGGACGGGUUACGGCGACUACGUGAAAGUGUACGACGGUCUGGAGGAGAACCCUCGCCGUCUGCUCCGGGUGUUGACCGCCUUCGACUCCAGAGCUCCGGUGGCUGUGGUGUCGUCGUCCGGGCAGCUGCGCGUCCACUUCUACGCUGACAAGAUCAACGCGGCCCGCGGCUUCAACGUCACCUACCAGGUGGACGGGUUCUGCCUCCCCUGGGAGGUUCCCUGUGGGGGGAACUGGGGCUGUUACACUGAGCAGCAGCGCUGUGACGGAUACUGGCACUGUCCCAACGGUCGGGACGAGCUCAACUGUUCAUCGUGUCAAGAGGACGAGUUCCCGUGUUCCAGGAACGGAGCGUGUUACCCACGAUCGGACCGCUGCAACUAUCAGAACCGCUGCCCUAACGGGUCUGAUGAGAAGAACUGCUUUUUCUGCCAGCCUGGAAACUUCCACUGCAAGAACAACCGCUGCGUGUUUGAGUCGUGGGUCUGCGACGCCCAGGACGACUGCGGCGACGGCAGCGACGAGGAGAGCUGCCCCGUCAUCGUCCCCACCAGAGUCAUCACUGCCGCCGUCAUCGGCAGCCUGAUCUGUGGCCUCCUGCUGGUCAUCGCCCUCGGCUGCACCUGCAAACUCUACUCUCUGCGCAUGUUUGAACGCAGGUCCUUCGAGACACAGCUCUCCAGAGUGGAGGCGGAGCUCCUGAGGAGGGAAGCCCCACCCUCUUAUGGUCAGCUGAUUGCCCAGGGCCUGAUCCCGCCUGUGGAGGAUUUCCCAGUGUGCUCUGGGAGUCAGGCGUCCGUGCUUGAGAACCUGCGUCUGGCCGUUCGCUCGCAGCUCGGUUUUACCUCCCUCAGACUCCCCUCCUCCACUCGUCAUAGCAACCUGUGGCACCGCCUCUUCACCUUCUCUCGGUCUCGGCGGUCGGGCUCUUUGGCUCUGGUCUCAGCUGAUCUGGAGGACAGCGCUGGUUCUGGGAGCAGUGGGAGUUCCGGUUCAGACCUGCUGUCUCCGGACUCUGACGACACAGACACAGAGGGCGAGCGAGGGAGAGAGAGAGGCGUCGGUGCUGUGGGCGGGCCCGUGGCCCCGCUUCCCCAGAAGACCCCGCCCUCCACUGCUGUAGAGGCCGUCGUCUCCGUGACGACAUCUGCGACCUCCAUGACCCCGAUACAGAGCCGAGACCGAUGCCGUGACCGUCCCAGAGAAGCCCCGCCUCCAUCCAGCCCCGUCACCCUGGCAACAACAAAUCCAGAUCCAGAAUGCCAAAAUGACGCCUCAGAGCUCCAGACCCCGCCCACCUCUGCCUUGCAGCGCCUAGCCCAGAACCUUCACCGCCUUGCAAGAAACCUCACCAGAACCAGUCAGAACCAGACAUGGACCAAUCACAGCCCGCUGCGUCAGCUGGAGACAGGAAGACACGGGGCGGAUGCCGGCGAGCGGCGAGGGAGCCGAGAGGACGAAGAAGACGUGGAGCUUCUCAUCCCCGUGUCUGACUCUGACUCCUCCUCCUCGUCCUCAUUGGUGUGUGACGUCCAACAGCCACUGCUAGAGCCACACCUCUCCUCCAACAUGGGCCACGCCCCCCGCCAUCACAGAGGAAGCAGUGGUCGAGGAGGGCGUGAUGGUCCGUGUGAACACUGUGGGAUGGUCCACACGGCUCAGGUCCCCGACGUUUGCCUGGAGGCCACGGGCAAAAUGGAGAGCAGUGACGACGAGCUGCUGCUGCUCUGCUAACACGCUAAUGUUAGCUCACAUGCUAACUGACACAACUACUGCUGAUGUAACCUCAUCCUUACAACAUGCUAACGAAUUUAUACGAGUACUACAUUCAUCUAAAUGGCUAGCAUAGCUAGCCACCAUGCUAACAUUUCAUACUGGACAACAUCUAGCCCCUAUGCUAACAUUUCAUACUGGACAACAUCUAGCCACUAUACUUACAUUUCAUACUGGACAAUGGCUAGCCACUAUGCUAACAUUUCAUACUGGACAACGGCUAGCUAAUAUGCUAAUAUUUCAUACUGGACAACAGCUAGCUAAUAUGCUAACAUUUCAUACUGGACAACAGCUAGCUAAUGUGCUAACAUUUAAGACCACACAGUAGCUAGCAAAUAUGCUAACAUUUGAGACUGACAACAACUAGCCACUACGAAAGACCUGUUAGCAUGUGUUAGCAUGUUAGCCUCCAGUGAUGUCACUGACAAGAAGUUAAUGUUGGUGCGGUAAUGAAAACCUUCCCCUGGUCCGUCCUUUAAAGCGCUCCCCACCUGUUUGUUGGUACGACUGAAAACUGAGUCCUGACAGAAUAAACGCCACCCCCAUGUCCCCCUGUUGCUCUGUCACAGGAAAUGAUGAGAGGGUCAUGUGACUGAUGGAGGUUGCUGGACAACUGGUAGCUAAUGAAAAGUGCUAGCAGGCUAGUUUUAUAAAAGUUUCAAAAUGAUCUCAGCUCUAAUGAAUAAGAAGAAGAAGAAGUCGUACGACGUGGUAAAACAGCGGUAAUGCCGCGCUCGCAUGUUGCUGCUUCUCUUCAAACAUGGCAGGAUAACGUGCGACUGAUCUGCGACUGUGGAGACUUCGUUAUCAUCGGCCAUCAAAUCACAGUCAAACACAGUCCAGAUGUACAAGAGCGCCCUCCUGUGGUGGGAAAACAAACGCCAUGUCGCCAUCACUUUAGCAACAUUAGCAACUUAUGCUACAAUGGUUCUGCUAACUUCGGACUGACUCCUCAGAA